CCCAGACUCCUACGGGAGGCAGCAGUGGGGGAUAUUGCACAAUGGGGGGAACCCUGAUGCAGCGACGCCGCGUGGGUGAAGGAGUAUUUCGGUAUGUAAAGCCCUAUCGGCAGGGAAGAAAUUGGACGGUACCUGACUAAGAAGCCCCGGCUAACUACGUGCCAGCAGCCGCGGUAAUACGUAGGGGGCAAGCGUUAUCCGGAUUCACUGGGUUUAAAGGGUGCGCAGGCGGCACGGCAAGCCGGCGGUCAAAUCGCGGGGCUCAACCCCGCCCAGCCGUCGGAACUGCCGGGCUAGAGUGGGCGAGAAGAAGGCGGAAUGCGUGGUGUAGCGGUGAAAUGCAUAGAUAUCACGCAGAACCCCGGUUGCGAAGGCAGCCUUCCGGCGCCCUACUGACGCUGAGGCACGAAAGUGCGGGGAUCGAACAGGAUUAGAUACCCGAGUA
Molecule: ribosomal RNA, 445 nt
Filed under: uncultured bacterium
Lineage: Bacteria
Description: partial 16S ribosomal RNA
Rfam family: Bacterial small subunit ribosomal RNA
Source: RNAcentral